GGAAAUAUGAGAUGUCGCCGUGACGCCACCAUGGCUACCUAGCCCCUCGCACCGCCAGGCUGCUGGGUAUGUCAGAGCCUUCGGCACCAGCAGCGUCAUUUUGAGGAAAUCAUCUUAAACAUCAGAAAAAGCUCUCUGAACAAAACACAUCCACUACAUCACUCAUCAGGAACAUGCAGAACAUUGAACAAAAGGGAAAUAUUAAGUAAAUUAUGGCACAUCCGAUACUUGACUGGAAAAGCCUGAAGACAUUAACUGCCAUGUUUAUGAAGCACUGGUUACAAAACAGGAAAAGGCUGGCGUUGUCACCAGCAAAAAAAAAAAAAAAAAAAAGCAGGAUAUACAUCUGAAUAUAGGGAAUGACGACAAAGCCUUUAAAAAACCGACCAACCACCAAGUGACACAGGCCUGGGAAGAACUCCAUCAAAACGUUAGCAUUGUUGAGGCUACAAAGACUGUCAAUAACCUUUU
RNAcentral lists this long non-coding RNA (471 nucleotides) under Heterocephalus glaber (naked mole-rat). RNAcentral's name for it is "lncRNA (ENSHGLG00100045390.1)". Lineage: Eukaryota; Metazoa; Chordata; Mammalia; Rodentia; Bathyergidae. The record is from RNAcentral.